This is a non-coding RNA of Paralichthys olivaceus (Japanese flounder), 233 nucleotides long. Lineage: Eukaryota; Metazoa; Chordata; Actinopteri; Pleuronectiformes; Paralichthyidae. The record is from RefSeq and is a predicted model, not a curated record.
GCGGAUGAACACAGAUCGAUGACGUGUCUCCUGUAUAAAUGAUCCUGUCCCCCCUGGCAACUGCAUUCAGAGGGACUGUUGUGAAGGGAGAGCGGCUGGAGACACUGAUCGUGACUGUGCAAACAUGCAGAUCUUCGUGAAGACCCUCACUGGCAAGACCAUCACCCUCGAGGUUGAGCCCAGUGACACCAUUGAAAAUGUCAAGGCUAAGAUCCAGGACAAGGAAGGCAUUC